AAUUCUCAACCACAGUAGCUUUUGAGCUUGCUUGUGGCUUGGAUUUGGGGCUUUCUUGCGGGCCUUUGUCAAGGUCAGCUGCCCUGAAAUGUAUUAGCCGAACCGUUUGCGGUCAGUCACCGGUGUGAUAAUUAUCUACGCCAAAGACUUAAGCUGCUUUCUGUCUGUUCAGCUUCCAAUUGUCUGCCCAGACAACGCUUGUAC
RNAcentral lists this unclassified non-coding RNA (204 nucleotides) under uncultured Lepiota. RNAcentral's name for it is "sequence contains ITS2". Lineage: Eukaryota; Fungi; Basidiomycota; Agaricomycetes; Agaricales; Agaricaceae. The record is from RNAcentral.